This is a non-coding RNA of Camellia sinensis, 1122 nucleotides long. NCBI's taxonomy places the organism in Eukaryota, Viridiplantae, Streptophyta, Magnoliopsida, Ericales, Theaceae. The record is from RefSeq and is a predicted model, not a curated record.
AUAUCUAUAUAAUAAAGCAGAACGGAUUUUGAAAAUAUCCUAGAGACAUUUGUCCUACUAAGACAUUUGAAUGGUGAAGAUUCAUUUGCCUAUUUACAUGAACGGCUGAGAUUACCCAUUCAAUAUGUGUCAAUCCCCUUCCCGCCCAAACACUAAAGUAACUGCACACCCACGUCUCAUCUCCAGCCUACUCACCCACGUCUCAUCUCCUUCUAUCUUUAUCUUUUCUCUUCUUUGUUCUCACCCAUCCCUCUUUUAUCUCUCUGCUCUCCAGCCCUGUUCUUCUUCUUCUUCUGCUCUCCAGAUCAAGUUCGUGAUCUUGAGACCCGAUUGGGACCCAACAAAUUCCAGAAGCAAUUUCGCUCGCUGGGUCGACUUCGCGAUCGCAAGUAAACAACUCGAUACGCUACGGUACAGAAGAGUUUGAUCGCAAGGUAAAAUUCUCUUUUUGGGGUUUUCUGAACCAAGCUUUGAUGGGUCAGAGGAUUCGAAAUGGAGGUUUCUCUGGGCUGAUUCAUAUGGAUUUGGAGGUCUGAAUCUGGGUUUACAGAGUGGGUUCAAUGUAGAAGAGCUCUCUUCAAUCCCAAACUUAAGGUCUUAUAAUUAUUACUCUGAUGAUCAACACUGUGGUCUCUGCCACAAGAAGAAGCGCGUUAAUGGCGAAAACUUCGGGUUAUCUCCUCCGAUCAAUGGCUGUGAUUUUCUAGGAUUGAAUCUACGAAACAAGCGAAUUGUCGACGGAGAGAAUCAAGAUCUUAGCAUGGGAGCUCUGGGUUAUGGCGGUGGCAAUGUUGAUCAGGUGAAGAAGGAGCCUUAAGCAGGGCAGAUGUAUCUCAUAGAUGAAAGAGAUAUCUCAAAGAUGAAAGAGAAUGAGUGGUGGAAGAUGGAGGAGAGAGAAUAAGUGGGGAAUUGAUGGACAAGGUGUGGGUUUUGUGUUUCUAACCAUUAAAUUGAUUUUUAAUUUUUUUUAAUUUUUUUAUGUGUGUGUUCUUUUUUUUUUAAAUAGAUUUUUAUUUUUUUUUAAUUUUUAUGUAGUUUAUGGAUUUGGAUUUAAUUUUUUAAAAUGUUUUAGGUUUAAAAUAAUAGUUGAUCUUUAUAAAAUGGGUUUCGAUUUUAGAAAUA